ACCCUGGCGGACACCGGCGUCAGGUUCAAAAA
RNAcentral lists this non-coding RNA (32 nucleotides) under Geobacter sulfurreducens KN400. Lineage: Bacteria; Pseudomonadati; Thermodesulfobacteriota; Desulfuromonadia; Geobacterales; Geobacteraceae. The record is from RNAcentral.